AUGUGAGUUAACUCGCUGCGUUUUGGCAGGCAGCAGAGAAUCAUUGUGUUUGAGUUGCAUGUUGCCAUAGAGCAUUUCAAUUAAACACAACUACAGUCGUCUUCAAUAGAAUACCACGUUUUUUAAAAAGCGGGCCAACGGAGUGUUUUGUAUUUAUUUAUAAUGUAGACAUGCUCUAUCAAUCACGAGACUAACACUAAGGCUAUGAGUAUUAUAGAUAAGAAGAGAAAAAAAAUAAUUUGAGUGACACUGAUUAAAAAAGACAUUUUACCUAUAG
Molecule: non-coding RNA, 277 nt
Organism: Paramuricea clavata
Lineage: Eukaryota; Metazoa; Cnidaria; Anthozoa; Malacalcyonacea; Plexauridae
Source: the annotation of a GenBank genome assembly